This is a long non-coding RNA of Eriocheir sinensis (Chinese mitten crab), 1792 nucleotides long. RefSeq lists it as uncharacterized. NCBI's taxonomy places the organism in Eukaryota, Metazoa, Arthropoda, Malacostraca, Decapoda, Varunidae. The record is from RefSeq and is a predicted model, not a curated record. The transcript has 3 exons.
CGUCCAGGACGCGUCACUUUCACACCCGCCGGGCCCCAGGCCGCCAGGCGGGUGUGAAAGUGACGUCAGCAGUACCUGAUGGCGACGAGGAUAAUGAAGUGGACUCCUAUGAAGAAAUUCUGUCAGUUCAGUAUUAAAACAACUCACACGUCUGGCAACCCUGAGGCUAGUGCCAGGCAACACUCCCGGUGAAUCAGUGAUCUUCGUCUUGCCCGCUGGCCUGCACAGCGUCCUACGAGAAGCUCUACGGCCGCCACGAUGCGCUGGUGUCUGCCGGCGCUCCUUCUGCUGCCCCUGCUGCUGGCCUGGGAUACCGCUUCAGUCAGCCGCGUGUGUGGGUGUAAGACUGGACACCGCCCUAUCCAACAACCCAACCCUGCUGCCGCUCCUGACCUGCUUUGGGCUACAAGAAAUCCCUGGAUACACCGCCAUCAUAUCCCUCAUCCUACAACGACAACCGCUGGUCCUGACUACUAUGACGACCCCGCUGACUGGGAGCCGUUACUGGUGAUGACCAUGGAGCUCCGUGAUGAGUGUCUUGUACGUGAUGGGGAAGGCAGGCCCCGCAUGGAUGCAAAAUGUCUAGCUAUGAAGAGGAGCCGCUUGAGACGACCGUACUUAUGGUAAAAGACCACACCGCUCCCGAGACGACCAGCCACACCACGUGACCCACGGCAUCACGACCACCACAUCCAGCCACACCCAAGACCACUAACUGCAGCCACACCCAACACCAAUUAAAUACCAGCCUCACCACACCCACGACCACCAAUACCAGCCACACCACACCUUCACGACCACUAAUACCAGCCACACCACACCAUCACGACCACCAAUACCAACCCCACCCCACCCACGACCACCAAUACCAGCCACACCACACCAUCACGACCACCAAUACCAGCCACACCACACCUUCACGACCACCAAUACCAGCCACACCACACCAUCACGACCACCAAUACCAGCCACACCACACCAUCACGACCACUAAUACCAGCCACACCACACCCAAGACCACCACUAAUACCAGCCACAUCACACCUAUAACCAUCACCAAUACCAGCCACACCACACCAUCACGACCACCAAUACCAGCCACACCACACCAUCACGACCACCAAUACCAGCCACACCACACCCACGACCACUAAUACCAGCCACACCACACCCACGACCACUAAUACCAGACACACCACACCUUCACGACCACCAAUACCAGCCACACCACACCCACGACCACUAAUACCAGCCACACCACACCUUCACGACCACUAACACCAGCCACACCACACCCACGACCACCGUAUGUCCUCUGUUGGUUGUGGCAAAGAAAGUGCUUCUUCCAGGGGUUUCAAUGUGCAGUUCUAGCUGUGAGUUCACCUGUUGCCCAGUAGUUCCUUGUUGUCGUCGAAGAGGAUAUGCCACACCAAAGUUCAGCUCUUUAUAUUCACGUUCCGGAGCAGCGCAGGACGAGUCUUGGAGCGGCGCAGCGAACGGAACUUUCUUUGCUUGUAAUUUCAAUGUAGUGUUGCAACUUCAGUGACGAGGUAAAGAACUGAAGGCAGGACUAUACAGUGAAUCCCCUUUAUUAUUUGCAUUGUAAAACUUGUUAGUUGUUUGCUAAUUAAUGAUGUCAUGUACUUUAUGCAUUCAUGUGUAGCCACUAUAAGUAUUGUCCUGUUGACACGCAUGUAUGGUCCAGGUAUAUAACAAAAACAAUAUAGAGAGUUGAUAAUGUUAACUGAUGGAUAAAUAUGAUAAAAAGUAAUAACAACAACAACAACAACAA